RNAcentral lists this ribosomal RNA (483 nucleotides) under uncultured bacterium. RNAcentral's name for it is "bacterial SSU rRNA". It matches the Rfam family "Bacterial small subunit ribosomal RNA", at positions 29 to 501 of the family's 1533-position model. The record is from RNAcentral.
AUUGAACGCUGGCGGCAUGCCUAACACAUGCAAGUCGAACGGCAGCACAGCAGUAGCAAUACUGUGGGUGGCGAGUGGCGGACGGGUGAGGAAUACGUCGGAAUCUGCCCAGUCGUGGGGGAUAACUAGCCGAAAGGUUAGCUAAUACCGCAUACGACCGAGAGGUGAAAGCGGGGGACCGCAAGGCCUCGCGCGAUUGGAUGAGCCGACGUCGGAUUAGCUAGUUGGCGGGGUAAAGGCCCACCAAGGCGACGAUCCGUAGCUGGUCUGAGAGGAUGAUCAGCCACACUGGAACUGAGACACGGUCCAGACUCCUACGGGAGGCAGCAGUGGGGAAUAUUGGACAAUGGGCGCAAGCCUGAUCCAGCAAUGCCGCGUGUGUGAAGAAGGCCUUCGGGUUGUAAAGCACUUUUAUCAGGAACGAAAGCGUUGGAUUAAUACUCUGACGUGCUGACGGUACCUGAGGAAUAAGCACCGGCUAAC